UUCCGUAGGUGAACCUGCGGAGGGAUCAUUACCGAGUGUAAAAACUCCCAAACCAUUGUGAACUUACCACUGUUGCUUCGGCGGCCUCGCCCCGGGCGCGUUCGCGCGGCCCGGACCCAGGCGUCCGCCGGAGGCUCCAAACUCUUGUCUUUUAGUGUAUUUCUGAGUGGCAUAAGCAAAUAAAUCAAAACUUUCAGCAACGGAUCUCUUGGUUCUGGCAUCGAUGAAGAACGCAGCAAAAUGCGAUAAGUAAUGUGAAUUGCAGAAUUCAGUGAAUCAUCGAAUCUUUGAACGCACAUUGCGCCCGCCAGUAUUCUGGCGGGCAUGCCUGUCUGAGCGUCAUUUCAACCCUCAGGACCCGUUCGCGGGACCUGGCGUUGGGGAUCAGCCUGCCCCUGGCGGCGGCUGGCCCUGAAAUCCAGUGGCGGUUCCCUCGCGAACUCCUCCGUGCAGUAAUUAAACCUCUCGCGGCAGGAUAGCGGUUGAACCACGCCGUUAAACCCCCCACUUCUCAAGGUUGACCUCAGA
This 528-nucleotide ribosomal RNA is filed under the name uncultured organism. Its description in RNAcentral is "eukaryotic LSU rRNA". The stretch from base 189 to 342 matches the Rfam family "5.8S ribosomal RNA". The record is from RNAcentral.